Molecule: long non-coding RNA, 723 nt
Organism: Hemicordylus capensis (graceful crag lizard)
Lineage: Eukaryota; Metazoa; Chordata; Lepidosauria; Squamata; Cordylidae
Exons: 5
Source: RefSeq, a predicted model, not a curated record
GGAUACCGACUGUGUCUCCACCCACCCACUCGACAUUCUCUACAGGAUACUCACGUUCAUGGGCAUGGACUUUUCACCUGGCAAGACCCACAGCUGGUCGCUCCGCAUGAGUAAAAGCAUGGGACAAUGUACCCUCCAGUCAGAAUAGCUGUCAUGGAUCUUGGAAUCUCUGCAUCCUCAGGGUGAGAUGGCAUGGAAAGCCCUAUCAGUUGUUGCCAUUGGGCCAAAGGGAAGAACGCUGUGUGCCAUAUGUGACAGAAGAUCUGGCUUUCAACUCUCCGAAGGAGAUCGAGCGGGGGAGGAUAGACUACCGCCAGGUUAUGCACCGGGGGUAUCAGAAUGCGGUUCUGGGCUGAGAGAGAUUCCUGCCUGCAACCUUGGAGAAGCCGCUGCGAGUCUGUGAAGAUAAUACUGAGCUAGAUGGACCACUGGUCUGACUCAGUAUAUGGCAGCUUCCCAUGUUCCUAAAGAAGCCAGAGGAAAAGGAACUGCCAGAAGAAGAAGACAAAGAAAGCUGGAUGGAAAAGCUGCUAAAAAGAGGUUAUAAGGCUGGCUGAAACAAGGAAACAACUUAAACAGGAUACCUGAAUGCAUGUAUCCUACUCUGAUUUAUCAUCCUUCACUCAUACCUUUAAAAAAAGAUAUUCACCAAUGGAAUUUAUAAGAUUAUUACUUAGAAAGGAAAACAAAACCUUAAUCUAAGUAAAGAAGUAACUUUGUUCA